RNAcentral lists this long non-coding RNA (902 nucleotides) under Olea europaea subsp. europaea. Lineage: Eukaryota; Viridiplantae; Streptophyta; Magnoliopsida; Lamiales; Oleaceae. The record is from RNAcentral.
UGAACUAUUGAUGAAAUAAAAUUUUAAUAAGACUUAUAUGAUGUAAAAGCAGGAAUAAAAGAUUAACAUUUUUAUAUGAUUCUUGUAAAAUUAAUAUUUUUUUUUUAAAAAACAUAAAUACUAUUGUAAUGUUGUAAAAUUUUUUGCUAUACUACUACCGAAGAGUAAGAAAAUAAAGACUUCUAAAAUGAAAAUAUUUUUCAUCUAUAAAUUUAGUGUUUUGCUUCCACCCAGUCAACCUACAUAUGCAAUCUAUUUCUAAAGUUAUAAUGUAAGUAAUUUAUCAACAAUCAUAAACUUAAUAAAUUCAUAAGUGGACGACUGGAAAUGUACAAAAGAAUUCGGGCAGCAAGUAAUAAAAGAUUUUCAUCUAUGAAUUUCUGCCUUAAUAAGCUCUAACAAAGUAUCUUUUUCAAUGAAAAAGUAUGGUACUCUAGCUUUUCUCUUGGAACAUUCGAAAUUCUAAUUCAAAGCAACCUAUAGAAUAAUUUCCCUAUAAAUACACUUCCAUUAUAACUAUUUAACUUAGACAAGACUUCUAUCUACCACGAUCAUCUAUCAAUUUAUAAAAAAUCAAGGCAUGGCACUAAAUACUACACGGCGCCUUCAAUUCAAAUUUUAUUCAUCUUUAAAGUUAAUAUAAAUCUACAUGUCCCCAACACAUAUAUUUUAAAGAAUUUUUAAAGUUCAUACAAAGUUAGGCGUUUUCAACUUAAAUAAUUUUCAUAUUUGAUAAGAAUAAGAAAAAAAUAUCUCUAGUAAGAAAAAAAUAUCUCUAGUCUACAUACUAAAGGAAGAAAUUGGUUACGUGUGAAAUUGUGCCAAACAUAAACAAUAACUUGGACAAUCUCCUCUCUUAUAGUAAAGGCAGAUACUAUUUUAUUAUUAUAUACUAAUUAAAU